AGGAAGUCCGACAGUAUAUUUUUGAUUACUAUAAUUGCUGGUUAUGAAAUGGCACAACAUUAGAAAUUGACAAAUGAGGAAACUGUAACAACUUGCUGUAUAAAGCCUCAAAGUUACACAGGACGGUCACAGAAGACAUCAACUGAGAAGAGGCACAAAAGCAGAUACUACACAAAAAUGGUUUCAUUCAGCAAUCGCCCAGCGCUGCAGCUGCUUAUGUUGGCGUCACUGACAAAUCUCAUCAUGUAUACUGCGAAAGCUGAUCCUGUUACCCCAGGUGUAAUCCCAGUAUCCAAUAUUACAUGUCCACCGGACAUGGAACUAGGUUGUCGCCGCGCAUGCUUUGGAGAUUGUGACGGAUUAAACAGCACAAGGGAAGUUUGCACACUUAUGUGCCCGAAUGGAUGUGAAUGCAAAGAUCUAAGUUACGUUCGUACUUCUAAGGACUCUAACAUCUGUGUCCCGCCCUCAAUGUGCAACGUUACUUGUCCUGCAAACAUGACCUUCAACCCGUGCGUCAAACAGAGUGACCCGACCUGUAAUAGCGAAGAUCCCAUUACAGAAUUAGCAUGCUUACCGCGCUGUGUGUGCAAGCCGGGGUAUGUUAGAAGUGGCAGCGUGUUUAAUCGAACAUGUAUUAAAAAAUGUGAUUGUCCACCUUCAAUAAAUUCUAAAAAAUAAAAGGUAAUUAGCACCGCCUAUGUUAUAUGUCCUGCUAACAGUAAAGUGUUGCACCAUGUCAGCCAAUGUAAAAGGCAGCGAAAAAAUAAAUAUAAAGUGGAAUUAAAGUGAAACAAUA
Molecule: long non-coding RNA, 799 nt
Organism: Pseudophryne corroboree (corroboree frog)
Lineage: Eukaryota; Metazoa; Chordata; Amphibia; Anura; Myobatrachidae
Exons: 4
Source: RefSeq, a predicted model, not a curated record